Molecule: ribosomal RNA, 549 nt
Filed under: uncultured bacterium
Lineage: Bacteria
Description: bacterial SSU rRNA
Rfam family: Bacterial small subunit ribosomal RNA
Source: RNAcentral
UGGGGAAUUUUGGACAAUGGGCGCAAGCCUGAUCCAGCCAUGCCGCGUGUCUGAAGAAGGCCUUCGGGUUGUAAAGGACUUUUGUCAGGGAAGAAAAGGACAGGGUUAAUACCUCUGUUUGAUGACGGUACCUGAAGAAUAAGCACCGGCUAACUACGUGCCAGCAGCCGCGGUAAUACGUAGGGUGCGAGCGUUAAUCGGAAUUACUGGGCGUAAAGCGAGCGCAGACGGUUACUUAAGCAGGAUGUGAAAUCCCCGGGCUCAACCUGAGAACUGCGUUCUGAACUGGGUGACUAGAGUGUGUCAGAGGGAGGUAGAAUUCCACGUGUAGCAGUGAAAUGCGUAGAGAUGUGGAGGAAUACCGAUGGCGAAGGCAGCCUCCUGGGAUAACACUGACGUUCAUGCUCGAAAGCGUGGGUAGCAAACAGGAUUAGAUACCCUGGUAGUCCACGCCCUAAACGAUGUCAAUUAGCUGUUGGGCAACUUGAUUGCUUAGUAGCGUAGCUAACGCGUGAAAUUGACCGCCUGGGGAGUACGGUCGCAAGAUUA